RNAcentral lists this ribosomal RNA (409 nucleotides) under uncultured bacterium. RNAcentral describes it as "bacterial SSU rRNA". It matches the Rfam family "Bacterial small subunit ribosomal RNA", at positions 1 to 441 of the family's 1533-position model. The record is from RNAcentral.
GCCCAGAGUUUGAUCCUGGCUCAGAACGAACGCUGGCGGCAGGCUUAACACAUGCAAGUCGAACGAAGCCUUCGGGCUUAGUGGCGGACGGGUGAGUAACGCGUGGGAACGUGCCCUUUGCUACGGAACAGUCCUGGGAAACUGGGUUUAAUACCGUAUACCCUCUGAGGAGGAAAGAUUUAUCGGCAAAGGAUCGGCCCGCGUUGGAUUAGGUAGUUGGUGGGGUAAAGGCCUACCAAGCCGACGAUCCAUAGCUGGUUUGAGAGGAUGAUCAGCCACACUGGGACUGAGACACGGCCCAGACUCCUACGGGAGGCAGCAGUAGGGAAUCUUCCGCAAUGGACGAAAGUCUGACGCAGCAACGCCGCGUGAGUGAUGAAGGUUUUCGGAUCGUAAAACUCUGUUGCCA